UGGGGAAUUUUGGGAUCAAUGGGCGAAAGCCUGAUCCAGCAAUGCCGCGUGUGUGAAGAAGGCCUUCGGGUUGUAAAGCACUUUUGUCCGGAAAGAAAUCCUUGGCUCUAAUACAGUCGGGGGAUGACGGUACCGGAAGAAUAAGCACCGGCUAACUACGUGCCAGCAGCCGCGGUAAUACGUAGGGUGCAAGCGUUAAUCGGAAUUACUGGGCGUAAAGCGUGCGCAGGCGGUUUGCUAAGACCGAUGUGAAAUCCCCGGGCUCAACUUGGGAACUGCAUUGGUGACUGGCAGGCUAGAGUAUGGCAGGAGGGGGUAGAAUUCCACGUGUAGCAGUGAAAGUGCGUAGAGAUGUGGAGGAAUACCGAUGGCGAAGGCGAGCCCCCUGGGCCAAUACUGACGCUCAUGCACGAAAGCGUGGGGAGCAAACAGGAUUAGAUACCCUGGUAGUCCACGCCC
This 459-nucleotide ribosomal RNA is filed under the name uncultured bacterium. RNAcentral's name for it is "partial 16S ribosomal RNA". It matches the Rfam family "Bacterial small subunit ribosomal RNA", at positions 355 to 802 of the family's 1533-position model. The record is from RNAcentral.